This 305-nucleotide ribosomal RNA is filed under the name uncultured bacterium. Its description in RNAcentral is "bacterial SSU rRNA". It matches the Rfam family "Bacterial small subunit ribosomal RNA", at positions 338 to 641 of the family's 1533-position model. The record is from RNAcentral.
CCUACGGGGGCAGCAGUGAGGAAUAUUGGUCAAUGGACGAGAGUCUGAACCAGCCAAGUAGCGUGAAGGAUGACUGCCCUAUGGGAUGUAAACUUCUUUUAUAUGGGAAUAAAAUGUUCCACGUGUGGGAUUUUGUAUGUACCAUAUGAAUAAGGAUCGGCUAACUCCGUGCCAGCAGCCGCGGUAAUACGGAGGAUCCAAGCGUUAUCCGGAUUUAUUGGGUUUAAAGGGAGCGUAGGCGGAUUGAUAAGUUAGAGGUGAAAUGUCAGGGCUCAACUCGGGAACUGCCUCUAAUCCUGUUGAUC